This 404-nucleotide ribosomal RNA is filed under the name Actinomycetes bacterium. RNAcentral describes it as "Actinobacteria bacterium partial 16S ribosomal RNA". It matches the Rfam family "Bacterial small subunit ribosomal RNA", at positions 355 to 776 of the family's 1533-position model. The record is from RNAcentral. Lineage: Bacteria; Bacillati; Actinomycetota; Actinomycetes.
UGGGGAAUAUUGGACAAUGGGCGCAAGCCUGAUCCAGCCAUGCCGCGUGAGUGAUGAAGGCCCUUGGGUUGUAAAGCUCUUUCACCGGUGAAGAUAAUGACGGUAACCGGAGAAGAAGCCCCGGCUAACUUCGUGCCAGCAGCCGCGGUAAUACGAAGGGGGCUAGCGUUGUUCGGAUUUACUGGGCGUAAAGCGCACGUAGGCGGACUAUUAAGUCAGGGGUGAAAUCCCGGGGCUCAACCCCGGAACUGGCUUUGAUACUGGUAGUCUUGAGUUCGAGAGAGGUGAGUGGAAUUCCGAGUGUAGAGGUGAAAUUCGUAGAUAUUCGGAGGAAAACCAGUGGCUAAAGCGGCUCACUGGCUCGAUACUGACGCUGAGGUGCGAAAGCGUGGGGAGCAAACAGG